RNAcentral lists this long non-coding RNA (1234 nucleotides) under Cricetulus griseus (Chinese hamster). RNAcentral's name for it is "lncRNA (ENSCGRG00015040555.1)". The record is from RNAcentral. Lineage: Eukaryota; Metazoa; Chordata; Mammalia; Rodentia; Cricetidae.
UAUGGGGGAAGUCCUUGUGUGUAUAUGUUUGUCUUUUUUGGUUGAUAAAUAAAGCACUGUUGGCCAAUAGGGAAUCAAGUUAGGUGGGACUAGGAGUCAAGGAGGAUUCUGGGAAAUGUAGUAAAGAGAAGUCUUGUGAUCCAGGAAGGAAGUGACAUAGUAGGCAGACUUAUAAGUCUGGAGAAGCAGGAAAUCACUCUCUUCCUUCCCCUCUCUUCUCUGGGAGCUGCCAUGUGAGCCCAACAAGAGAGGAAGCAUGCUGUCGGCGUCCUCGAUCAGAUAAGUCUUUAUAAAAUAUAUAGAUUAAUAAUUAUGGUUGAUACUUAAGACAGAGAUAGGAGAUAAGAAAUCCUAGGCAUUGGCCAGCAGCAUUGUACCUAAUAUUAAUCUCUGUGUGUUAUUUGGGGCCCUAACAUGGCGGCAGGCAGGGCUCGGGCGGCUUGGAGGAAAGGCUUAUCGUUACAUCUUUCUGUUAGUAUCAUUCAUUUGAAAACUGAGCAUUUGGAGGGAAAAUGUCCCCUUUGGGGUUUUGUCUAGAAGAACUACACUAGCAAAACCAGGGUAGGAAUUAAAGUAUUCCCUGAGUGUGCAUCUUCCUUGAAUUACCCAUACCCUCCUCUCAUCUUCAUUUCCCCAUAUACAUGGCUACACCAAAAAUUUGUUUCCUUAAUCUUUUCUUCUGCUUCUUGCUGGGUGGGGGGGCUAUGGAUCUGUGAACCAAAUUCUCAAUUGUACACACACACUGUAACCUCUGUCUGUUGUCUCUUGUCCUCUAUAACCGGCAAGUUACAGUUCUCUUUGGUGACAUAAUACCUAUAGCUGAUUUAGAUAUUUCCAAAAGGAUAUCCAAGCCAUGCCAGAGUCUCAAUGACGCUUUAAGCCAGUUGAAACAAAGUUUAGAACCAUGUGCUGCCUUCUUAGAUUAGCUUAGAUGCUGCAAUGAAGUUUGAUUCUUUCUCCUAUAGCAGUGUAAAAGAUGGGCAUGGAACAGCCUCCUCCUGACUUUACAAUGCACAAGGAGGUGCUAAGGCAAGGGAUCCUGAUUGAGAACUGAUUUGCCAUGAGAAUUCACCAUGGAGUGUAAAGGGCAUUUUCAGUGAAACUGGAUAGAUCAGAGCUGUAUUUCAUUUAAGCUGAAUGGUAGAAAUACAAGAGCCCGGAAGGACAAAACUAUACAGAUCAACUGGGCCAUUUAUGCAUUGUUGGAUGCUGUGGACAACAUGGAAAGAUGGAG